This 23-nucleotide microRNA is filed under the name Drosophila melanogaster (fruit fly). RNAcentral's name for it is "dme-miR-1004-5p". The record is from miRBase by way of RNAcentral. Lineage: Eukaryota; Metazoa; Arthropoda; Insecta; Diptera; Drosophilidae.
GUUGGGGGACAUUGAUCUCGGAG